Molecule: ribosomal RNA, 327 nt
Filed under: Boophis luteus
Lineage: Eukaryota; Metazoa; Chordata; Amphibia; Anura; Mantellidae
Description: partial 16S ribosomal RNA
Rfam family: Bacterial large subunit ribosomal RNA
Source: RNAcentral
AAUGAGGACUAGAAUCAACGGCACCACGAGGAUCCUACUGUCUCCCCACUCCAAUCAGUGAAACUGAUCUCCCCGUGAAGAAGCGGGGAUAUAAAUAUAAGACGAGAAGACCCCAUGGAGCUUUAAACCUGACAACACCCAUUUAUCUUUUACCCUAGUAUUCAUUAGGCCCUGUUUGUUUGGUUUUAGGUUGGGGUGACCACGGAGUAUAAAAUAACCUCCAAGAAAAAUGGACCAACAAUCCUUAUCAAAGAACUACAAUUUUAUGAAUUAAUAAAUUAAUUUUUAAUGACCCGAUAUUUAUUCGAUCAACGAACCAAGUUACCC